UGAGGAAUAUUGGUCAAUGGGCGAAAGCCUGAACCAGCCAUGCCGCGUGAAGGAAUAAGGCCCUAUGGGUCGUAAACUUCUUUUGUAUCGGAGCAAUAAGGGUCACGAGUGAUCCGAUGAGAUUACGAUACGAAUAAGCAUCGGCUAACUCCGUGCCAGCAGCCGCGGUAAUACGGAAGGUCCGGGCGUUAUCCGGAUUUAUUGGGUUUAAAGGGAGCGUAGGCCGUCGUUUAAGCGUGUUGUGAAAUGCCGCGGCUCAACCGUGGCACUGCAGCGCGAACUGGAUGACUUGAGUUCGCGGGAGGUAGGCGGAAUUCGUGGUGUAGCGGUGAAAUGCUUAGAUAUCACGAAGAACUCCGAUUGCGAAGGCAGCUUACCGUAGCGUUACUGACGCUGAAGCUCGAAAGUGCGGG
RNAcentral lists this ribosomal RNA (413 nucleotides) under uncultured Prevotella sp. RNAcentral describes it as "bacterial SSU rRNA". It matches the Rfam family "Bacterial small subunit ribosomal RNA", at positions 355 to 765 of the family's 1533-position model. Lineage: Bacteria; Pseudomonadati; Bacteroidota; Bacteroidia; Bacteroidales; Prevotellaceae. The record is from RNAcentral.